This 678-nucleotide ribosomal RNA is filed under the name Weissella confusa. RNAcentral describes it as "bacterial SSU rRNA". It matches the Rfam family "Bacterial small subunit ribosomal RNA", at positions 66 to 700 of the family's 1533-position model. Lineage: Bacteria; Bacillati; Bacillota; Bacilli; Lactobacillales; Lactobacillaceae. The record is from RNAcentral.
GCUUUGUGGUUCAACUGAUUUGAAGAGCUUGCUCAGAUAUGACGAUGGACAUUGCAAAGAGUGGCGAACGGGUGAGUAACACGUGGGAAACCUACCUCUUAGCAGGGGAUAACAUUUGGAAACAGAUGCUAAUACCGUAUAACAAUGACAACCGCAUGGUUGUUAUUUGAAAGAUGGUUCUGCUAUCACUAAGAGAUGGUCCCGCGGUGCAUUAGCUAGUUGGUAAGGUAAUGGCUUACCAAGGCGAUGAUGCAUAGCCGAGUUGAGAGACUGAUCGGCCACAAUGGGACUGAGACACGGCCCAUACUCCUACGGGAGGCAGCAGUAGGGAAUCUUCCACAAUGGGCGAAAGCCUGAUGGAGCAACGCCGCGUGUGUGAUGAAGGGUUUCGGCUCGUAAAACACUGUUGUAAGAGAAGAAUGACAUUGAGAGUAACUGUUCAAUGUGUGACGGUAUCUUACCAGAAAGGAACGGCUAAAUACGUGCCAGCAGCCGCGGUAAUACGUAUGUUCCAAGCGUUAUCCGGAUUUAUUGGGCGUAAAGCGAGCGCAGACGGUUAUUUAAGUCUGAAGUGAAAGCCCUCAGCUCAACUGAGGAAUUGCUUUGGAAACUGGAUGACUUGAGUGCAGUAGAGGAAAGUGGAACUCCAUGUGUAGCGGUGAAAUGCGUAGAUAUAUG